UUUCUAAAUGGCUUCCAUCAUGUUCAGCGCUAUUCGUGUGUCUGCUAACUAAAACAUUUAAAUAAGAUAUGUAUGUUACUCACAUACAAAACGGUAAGAUGCUAGCGAACGGCUUUGUUGUGAAUGUAGUUAUUAGAAAAUUAACUAUAUAUUCAUUUCGGCGAAUUACAAUGUUUGAUAAAGAUGGCUUUCAUUAGUCUUUAUAUUCCUGCAAUUUUACUGUAUCAUUUGAGAAAUAAUAUUUUAAUAUUAGAGCAGUUUUAUUCUUUCAGUAUACAGACCGUAACAAUCUGUUUCUUGCAGCAAAUACUUAUAAAGUGAGAUGAUCUGCUGCUGAUCCUGAAUGGCUUGUCGAAUGAGUGUUGAUUGUCUACGGAUCAUCACUAUUAUCAGAGCAGCUGAAAAGCCUCUUUAUUUCAUGUCAAUAGAUCCUGUUUUCACCUCAUUCAUUAUGCUGAUGUCUUCAGGUCUGUAAAUUGCCACAUUAAGCUCAUUUUAUUGGUGUCAACAGACUUGAGCAAACGACACGAUCAACUCGUGACAUCUACUAGAUCUAGGUAUUUUCUGCAUUUGGCCCAAGUGUUCAAGUAGGCGUGAAGACUCGAGAACUUUUGAUUACCCAAUGGGACACA
Long non-coding RNA from Rhinichthys klamathensis goyatoka, 632 nucleotides. RefSeq lists it as uncharacterized. The transcript is spliced from 2 exons. NCBI's taxonomy places the organism in Eukaryota, Metazoa, Chordata, Actinopteri, Cypriniformes, Leuciscidae. The record is from RefSeq and is a predicted model, not a curated record.